RNAcentral lists this long non-coding RNA (442 nucleotides) under Numida meleagris (helmeted guineafowl). RNAcentral describes it as "lncRNA (ENSNMEG00000002425.1)". Lineage: Eukaryota; Metazoa; Chordata; Aves; Galliformes; Numididae. The record is from RNAcentral.
UGUGUUGUCCUAGGUUUUCUUCAGGCACUUGAGCUGCUCUCCCACACAAUGGAAGGGUCCAUGUUUGGUCUUUCAGAUCAUAGAAUCAUUGAACCAUAGGUUCACCAAGCCUUUAGAGAAGAUAAUGAAAAACUGGAUAGAGUAUGGAAGAGAGACACAAAACAGCUCUGAGAACUAACAAAUCACUACAGCAUGAACAUAAUAGAUUCUUACUCUUUUGCUGUUUCAUGCUCAGGACUUCAGUAGCAGUUUGCCCAUGGAUUCCGUGGAAGGGCAGAUUUAACAACUGUGAGCAUCAGCAGCCAGAAACAUCUCUCUGAUGGGUCAUGCACUGAAAGCCUAAGGUUUGGUGCUUCAAAUUACGAAAGAUCAACCCUGGUCUCAGAGUGGAAUUGGUGAAAGGCAUCUAAGAAGGAUUUGUUGACAGGCAUGUAGAGCACUC